This 328-nucleotide unclassified non-coding RNA is filed under the name soil metagenome. RNAcentral describes it as "partial contains 5.8S ribosomal RNA, internal transcribed spacer 2, and large subunit ribosomal RNA". The stretch from base 1 to 119 matches the Rfam family "5.8S ribosomal RNA", at positions 35 to 154 of the family's 154-position model. The record is from RNAcentral.
GAUGAAGACGCAGCGAAAUGCGAUAAGUAAUGUGAAUUGCAGAACUCAGUGAAUCAUCGAAUCUUUGAACGCACAUUGCGCCCCCUGGUAUUCCGGGGGGCAUGCCUGUCCGAGCGUCAUUACAACCCUCAAGCUCAGCUUGGUGUUGGGCCCCGCCGCCCCGGCGGGCCCUAAAGUCAGUGGCGGUGCCGUCCGGCUCCGAGCGUAGUAAUUCUUCUCGCUCUGGAGGUCCGGUCGUGUGCUCGCCAGCAACCCCCAAUUUUUUUCAGGUUGACCUCGGAUCAGGUAGGGAUACCCGCUGAACUUAAGCAUAUCAAUAAGCGGAGGA